AGUAUAAUGUCUGAUUUAAGUAAUAAACUGUAAAUUUAUUUAAAAGACUAUAUAUAUAUAUCUUUUAUACUA
This 72-nucleotide transfer RNA is filed under the name Macrocentrus camphoraphilus. RNAcentral describes it as "tRNA-Tyr". The record is from RNAcentral. Lineage: Eukaryota; Metazoa; Arthropoda; Insecta; Hymenoptera; Braconidae.